GUAGGUGGCAAGCGUUGUCCGGAAUUAUUGGGCGUAAAGCGCGCGCAGGCGGUUCUUUAAGUCUGAUGUGAAAGCCCACGGGCUCAACCGUGGAGGGUCAUUGGAAACUGGAGAACUUGAGUACAGAAGAGGAAAGCGGAAUUCCACGUGUAGCGGUGAAAUGCGUAGAGAUGUGGAGGAACACCAGUGGCGAAGGCGGCUUUCUGGUCUGUAACUGACGCUGAGGCGCGAAAGCGUGGGGAGCAAACAGGAUUAGUUACCCUGGUAGUCCACGCCGUAAACGAUGAGUGCUAAGUGUUAGGGGGUUUCCGCCCCUUAGUGCUGCAGCUAACGCAUUAAGCACUCCGCCUGGGGAGUACGGCCGCAAAGGCUG
Molecule: ribosomal RNA, 373 nt
Filed under: uncultured organism
Description: partial 16S ribosomal RNA
Rfam family: Bacterial small subunit ribosomal RNA
Source: RNAcentral